This 235-nucleotide long non-coding RNA is filed under the name Musa acuminata (dwarf banana). RNAcentral describes it as "long non-coding RNA (MACU_LNC011775)". The record is from RNAcentral. Lineage: Eukaryota; Viridiplantae; Streptophyta; Magnoliopsida; Zingiberales; Musaceae.
GGGCUUAGUGGUCGGCCCAAUCUGAGUUCGGUAAAGAGCGUCCGAAUCUUAUCCUCCAUUCGCGCCUCCAAGGCUUCGAAUUUAGCAUUGAUUGCCUCCUUAGAUGCCAUAGUAUAUGCCUCCAAAUCUAUGAUGUUAAAAUCUCUCUUUUGUUGUUAGGUUAAAGGCAUGUAUAGGUUGAGAGAAGUGAUGGUCGAAAGGGUUGGUGGAUCGGUGGAUGUAGGCUACGAUUUAG